This 388-nucleotide ribosomal RNA is filed under the name uncultured bacterium. RNAcentral's name for it is "bacterial SSU rRNA". It matches the Rfam family "Bacterial small subunit ribosomal RNA", at positions 28 to 416 of the family's 1533-position model. The record is from RNAcentral.
GACGAACGCUGGCGGCGUGCUUAACACAUGCAAGUCGAGCGGUAAGGCCCUUUCGGGGGUACACGAGCGGCGAACGGGUGAGUAACACGUGGGUGACCUGCCCUCAGCUCUGGGAUAAGCCUGGGAAACCGGGUCUAAUACCGGAUAUGACUCCAUGACGCAUGUUGUGGGGUGGAAAGCCUUGUGCGGCUGAGGAUGGGCCCGCGGCCUAUCAGCUUGUUGGUGGGGUGAUGGCCUACCAAGGCGACGACGGGUAGCCGGCCUGAGAGGGCGACCGGCCACACUGGGACUGAGACACGGCCCAGACUCCUACGGGAGGCAGCAGUGGGGAAUCUUGCGCAAUGGGCGAAAGCCUGACGCAAGCGACGCCGCGUGAGGGAUGACGGCC